Molecule: non-coding RNA, 78 nt
Filed under: unclassified sequences
Description: skipping-rope RNA
Rfam family: skipping-rope RNA
About the family: Firmicutes, Fusobacteria, AlphaProteobacteria, Spirochaetes. Downstream gene
Source: Rfam by way of RNAcentral
AGUUGACGAGGGCGGAACAGGCAGCCACCACACCCUUUGGGUCUGAAAGAGAUGCAGGAAUGUCGUCCUGCCGGAGCU